GCUGCCGCGGCGAGGGGCCGAGGCGGCGUGGCGGUGAGGAGCGGUCCCGAGCGCGGCUCCGCUCGUCUCCUCUGCGGCUCCCGCCGGGCCCUUGGUGCCCGGCCGACCCCGGCGCGGCAGGGCAUGGUGGCGCCCGGGCUGGGGCCGUGGCUCCUGGCCUUGUCCUUGGCCGCGGGGCCGGCAGGGCUGUGGGCGCAGCUGAGGCUGGUGGAGACCGGCGGAGGGCUGCGAGCACCCGGGGACUCCGUGAACCUCUCCUGCCGCGGGUUCGGCUUCACGUUCAGGGAUUUUUCUGUUUGGUGGUACCGUCAGGCACCGGGCAGCAGUGUCGAGUGGGUGUCCUACAUCAGUUACACGGGUACCACGAAGAAGUACGGGGCAGCAGUGGAGGGUCGAGCCACAGUCUCCCGGGACAAUUCCCGUUCCGAGUCAACUCUGUCCCUGCGGAGCCUGCGCCCUCAGGACUCUGCCCGCUACUUCUGUGCCGUUCCCACGGAGACAGGAAAUGCAGCAGAGCUUUAACACAAACCUGGCAGGCAGCUAAAACAACCACAUUAGUAUUUGCUCACUACCUGCUCCCGGUAGGAUAUGGGAGAGAAUUGAAAAUGGAAAGGGAAAAAAAAUUCUCUUUGGU
This is a non-coding RNA of Grus americana (Whooping crane), 634 nucleotides long. Lineage: Eukaryota; Metazoa; Chordata; Aves; Gruiformes; Gruidae. The record is from the annotation of a RefSeq genome assembly.